Molecule: small nucleolar RNA, 140 nt
Filed under: Vicugna pacos (alpaca)
Lineage: Eukaryota; Metazoa; Chordata; Mammalia; Artiodactyla; Camelidae
Description: Small nucleolar RNA SNORA15 (ENSVPAG00000017594.1)
Rfam family: Small nucleolar RNA SNORA15
About the family: ACA15 is a member of the H/ACA class of snoRNA that guide the sites of modification of uridines to pseudouridines.
Source: RNAcentral
GCAUGUAGGAAUUCAGUGCAGAAAAGGCAGCAGUUCACACAUCCAGACACCAUGUGAAAGUAAAGUUUGUCCUUUAUAGUGGCCAUUGAUGGUAUGGUAAGUCAUUUCAUAGCAUGCUGUUACUAAAAGAGGAUACAAAU